RNAcentral lists this ribosomal RNA (250 nucleotides) under uncultured bacterium. RNAcentral's name for it is "partial 16S ribosomal RNA". It matches the Rfam family "Bacterial small subunit ribosomal RNA", at positions 355 to 621 of the family's 1533-position model. The record is from RNAcentral.
GGAUGAAUAUUGCACAAUGGGCGAAAGCCUGAUGCAGCAACGCCGCGUGCGGGACGAAGGCCUUCGGGUCGUAAACCGCUUUUCUGGGGAAAGAGCAAGGACGGUACCUCAGGAAUAAGUCUCGGCUAACUACGUGCCAGCAGCCGCGGUAAAACGUAGGAGGCGAGCGUUAUCCGGAUUUACUGGGCGUAAAGCGCACGCAGGCGGCUCCGUGAGUCGGACGUGAAAGCUCUCGGCUUAACCGGGAGAG